UAUCUAUCUCACUUCAUUCUCACCGUUGUCGCCGCAGCUUCUUCUAACCCUAGCGCCGCCGAUUCCUCUAAACCCUAGCGCCCCCGCUUCCACUAUUUCCGAACAAACCGUCGCCCUCGCCACCGUGCUCACCAACGUUCUCACCGCCGCUUACUCUAAACACUAGCUAGCACCGCCGUUUCUUCUAAACCCUAGCGCCGCCGCUUCUUCUAAACCCUAGCGCCGCCGCUUCUUCUCUGUAAACCGUAGCGCCGUUUCUCUGUAAACCCUAACGCCGAUCUAUAACCACAAUGACGAGUACUCGAACUCCUUCUGCGACUAAUCAGACAAAAAGGAUGGAUAUUCCAGAACUCCCCCGUAGGUUAUACACAUUAGGGGAAGAGCCAGAACCCCACAAUAGCAUUUCGUAUCAUACGGAUAACACGAAGUUGCAUACUGCUCUUAGGG
Raphanus sativus (radish) is the source of this 447-nucleotide long non-coding RNA. RefSeq lists it as uncharacterized. The record is from RefSeq and is a predicted model, not a curated record. Lineage: Eukaryota; Viridiplantae; Streptophyta; Magnoliopsida; Brassicales; Brassicaceae. The transcript is spliced from 3 exons.